GCAGACACACUCUGUUCUUUGCUGCUCUCUCCAGCAUCGGACUUUUUCUGUCUGCUACAUGAACAUGCAGAAUGUGACAGUGACUGGCCUCGUUGUGAACGGCCGGUGCCUCUCAUGUUCUGCUACAUCCAG
Molecule: small nucleolar RNA, 132 nt
Organism: Labrus bergylta (ballan wrasse)
Lineage: Eukaryota; Metazoa; Chordata; Actinopteri; Labriformes; Labridae
Product: small nucleolar RNA SNORA77
Source: Ensembl